Molecule: ribosomal RNA, 518 nt
Filed under: Agelaia pallipes
Lineage: Eukaryota; Metazoa; Arthropoda; Insecta; Hymenoptera; Vespidae
Description: partial 16S ribosomal RNA
Rfam family: Bacterial large subunit ribosomal RNA (bases 392-518)
Source: RNAcentral
GUCUUAUUGAAAUAAAUAGUAAGUCGAUUUCUGCCCAUUGAAUUAAUUUUUAAAAGGCUGCGGUAUAUUAACUGUACAAAGGUAGCAAAAUAAAUAGUUUUUUAAUUGAAAACUUGAAUGAAAGAAUUGAUAAAAUAUAAAUUGUCUCAAUUUAAAAAAAUAAAUUUAAAUUAAAAGUUAAAAUGCUUUUAUAUUUUUAUUAGACGAUAAGACCCUAAGAAUUUUAUAUUUAUUUUUAAAUUAAUUUAUUAAAUUUAAUAAAAUAGUUAGUUUAAAUAAAAAUAUUUUAUUGGGAGGGUAAUUAAAAUUAAAAACUUUAAUUUUUAAUUAACAAUUUAUAGAUGAAUAUUUAAUGAUUAUUAUUAUAAUUAUAAGAAUAAAUUACCUUAGGGAUAACAGCGUAAUAAUUUUGGAGAGUUCAUAUUGAUAAAAUUGAUUGCGACCUCGAUGUUGAAUUAAAAUAAAAAUUAAAUGGAGAUAUUUAAAUUUUUAGUCUGUUCGACUAUUAAAAUUUUACA